UCCGUAGGUGAACCUGCGGAAGGAUCAUUAUCGAAUUUAAGGCUUGGUUGAGCUGGCGCUUCGGCGUAUGUGCUUGCCUCGCUGUCCAUUCUUCAACACCUGUGCACACUUUGUAGUUACUCUUGUUCUGUUACUCUCUCUCCCUUGACUUCGGUCUUGGUUGAGGGGGGCGUGGCUCGAGGGUCUCUAUGUUAUAUUAUACACCCUUUACAAAAACAAGUCCAUAGAACGUCCAAUGUAGGCGCAGCGUAAAACACUGUUUGCUGAAAUUAAAAACUUAUACAACUUUUAACAACGGAUCUCUUGGCUCUCGCAUCGAUGAAGAACGCAGCGAAAUGCGAUAAGUAAUGUGAAUUGCAGAAUUCAGUGAAUCAUCGAAUCUUUGAACGCACCUUGCGCUCCCUGGUAUUCCGGGGAGCAUGCCUGUUUGAGUGUCAUUAAAUUCUCAACCACACUAUGUUUUAUUAUGUAGUCUUGUGGCUUGGAUCUUGGAGCGUGCCGGACCUUUUCUUAGGUUCGGCUCCUCUUUAAAUGCAUUAGCUGGAACCUCUUGUGGUGCCAGACUAUGGUGUGAUAAUUAUCUACGCUGUGGUUUGUUGCGCUGCGAUUUAACUAUGGGGUUCUGCUUCUAACCGUCCCUCAAAGGACAGUAUAGAGUGGUGUUGUUCGGGGUUCGCCCUGGGCAUCUUGCCUUACUCUUAUUGACAUUUUGACCUCAAAUCAGGUAGGACUACCCGCUGAACUUAAGCAUAUCAAUAAGCGGAGGA
RNAcentral lists this ribosomal RNA (767 nucleotides) under Typhula incarnata. RNAcentral describes it as "eukaryotic LSU rRNA". The stretch from base 284 to 437 matches the Rfam family "5.8S ribosomal RNA". Lineage: Eukaryota; Fungi; Basidiomycota; Agaricomycetes; Agaricales; Typhulaceae. The record is from RNAcentral.